UUACUUUGGCAGAAUAGUGCAAUAAAUUUAGAAUUUAUGAAUGUAAUCAUCUUUACAGGUAAUA
This 64-nucleotide transfer RNA is filed under the name Hycleus phaleratus. RNAcentral's name for it is "tRNA-Leu". Lineage: Eukaryota; Metazoa; Arthropoda; Insecta; Coleoptera; Meloidae. The record is from RNAcentral.